GACGAACGCUGACGGCGUGCUUAACACAUGCAAGUCGAAGGGAGUGGCGAACGGGUGAGUAACACGUGAGUAACCUGCCCUUUUCUUUGGGAUAAGCCUGGGAAACUGGGUCUAAUACUGGAUGGCUUGGGAUGGGCUCGCGGCUUAUCAGCUUGGUGGUGGGGUGAUGGCUUACCAAGGCUUUGACGGGUGGCCGGCCUGGGAGGGUGGCCGGGAACACGGCGACGGCGAGACGGCCAAGACACCUACGGGAAGGAGCUGUGGGGGAAAGGGCACAAUGGACGAAAGGCUGAUGCGGCGACGUCGUGUGGGGGAUGAAGGUCUUCGGGUUGUAAACUCGUGUCGCCCGCGGAAUGGUAGUGGGUAAAGAAGCGACGGCUAACUACGUGCCAGCAGCCGCGGUAAUAC
This 408-nucleotide ribosomal RNA is filed under the name uncultured bacterium. Its description in RNAcentral is "partial 16S ribosomal RNA". It matches the Rfam family "Bacterial small subunit ribosomal RNA", at positions 28 to 526 of the family's 1533-position model. The record is from RNAcentral.